Molecule: ribosomal RNA, 392 nt
Filed under: uncultured bacterium
Lineage: Bacteria
Description: bacterial SSU rRNA
Rfam family: Bacterial small subunit ribosomal RNA
Source: RNAcentral
AGUGAACGCUGGCGGCAGGCCUAAUACAUGCAAGUCGAACGGCAGCACAGUGGAGCUUGCUCCAUGGGUGGCGAGUGGCGGACGGGUGAGGAAUACAUGGGAAUCUGCCCAGUCGUGGGGGAUAACGUAUGGAAACGUACGCUAAUACCGCAUGCGCCCUACGGGGGAAAGUCGGGGACCGCAAGGCCUGACGCGAUUGGAUGAGCCCAUGUUCGAUUAGCUGGUUGGCGGGGUAAAGGCCCACCAAGGCGACGAUCGAUAGCUGGUCUGAGAGGAUGAUCAGCCACACUGGAACUGAGACACGGUCCAGACUCCUACGGGAGGCAGCAGUGGGGAAUUUUGGACAAUGGGCGCAAGCCUGAUCCAGCCAUGCCGCGUGAGUGAUGAAGGCC